GGUCGGGUGUGUGGCUAAUACAAUACCCGUAAGGGAAAUACACCCGCCGACUGUGUACGGUUUUGAGCACCCGACCCCCCUCUC
This 84-nucleotide non-coding RNA is filed under the name Candidatus Regiella insecticola LSR1. RNAcentral's name for it is "sRNA-Xcc1". It matches the Rfam family "sRNA-Xcc1". The record is from Rfam by way of RNAcentral. Lineage: Bacteria; Pseudomonadati; Pseudomonadota; Gammaproteobacteria; Enterobacterales; Enterobacteriaceae.